AAAAAAAUCAAAACCCUAAUGCCAUUUGAUUUCUUUUCAGCCGACACACACACUUUACCUUUCUCUCCCAAAUAAUUUUCCUUUCAUCUUCAUCAUAUCCUCUCUAACACAAAACCCUAGCUCCCAUCAAGUUGUUCUCAUAAUUUGCAAACCAUCUGCACUUGUGAAGAGAGAGGAGGGCGUAGAGAGAGAUCCGAGAUGGAGUGCCACAUGGUCGACCAUCACAACCGACAUCUCCACAACGACAGCAGCCGGUGGUGGUGACGCGGCUACGCCGCUACUCACGGUGGAGGUGGCGAUGGAUUUUUGACAGCAGUUUAGCGGAUGACACCCCCCCUCGACCUGCUACCACCUCUACUCCCCUGCUACACCGUCAGGUGACGGAAAUGGCAGCGCCGCCUCGGGUGGUGCCGGCUGAAGGUUCGAGCAGAGAGAGAGAGAGACAGGAGGAGAGAGAGAGUGUGAGAGAGAUGAGGUGGAGCGGCGCCGCCGCUGAUGGUGGCGACAGAGGAGGAGAACGGCGGUUCGGUUGUGGCUUCGGGUGGUUGGAGACGGCGACACCUCAGCUCCGACAGCCGUGACUCCGGGGUAAGAACAUCUGUUUUUUUUUUCUCUUUGGUUUCUGAACAGUAAACUAGUUCCGCUCCUAAUUCUCUUUAUUUUCCGAUGAAUAACGAUGAUUAUGGUGGCUGAUGGUGGCCGCGAGCGGCGCGGGUGACACCGGCGGCGGUAGAAGAGGUGGUUAUGUGCUAUCAGUUUUAAGUUUGGUAGUUUGGUGUGAGUUAGUUCAUCUUGACUCUCAAUUCGAGCUUCGGGUCGGUGUGUGCGAGAUCUGGUUCAACCCGGUUCAGAUCCGGGUCAACAGUGGACAAGAAUGGUCAACGGCAGUGCGGUUUUGGGUCUCGGUUCAGAAUGGGUGUUAGAAGCAACUGGCCAGUCACAGGUUCGAGUUUGGGUUCGGGUCAAACGUGGUCAACUACGGUCAAAGUCAGUCAACGUUGGUCAACAGGUCAACAGACGGUCAAACUCAGUCGAUGCAAGACCCGGAAUGUCAUAGUUGCACGCUAGCUAAAUACAUGUUCUUGGAACGACACUACGGAAUCACGCUAGGCUAGCAUUGCACAGGAAGGUCAAGGUUGCAUUUUCAAAACUAUGGAACGGUUGGAAUAGGAGAACCCAUGGGAAUUCAAGUA
Helianthus annuus (common sunflower) is the source of this 1193-nucleotide long non-coding RNA. RefSeq lists it as uncharacterized. NCBI's taxonomy places the organism in Eukaryota, Viridiplantae, Streptophyta, Magnoliopsida, Asterales, Asteraceae. The transcript has 3 exons. The record is from RefSeq and is a predicted model, not a curated record.